This 253-nucleotide ribosomal RNA is filed under the name uncultured bacterium. RNAcentral's name for it is "partial 16S ribosomal RNA". It matches the Rfam family "Bacterial small subunit ribosomal RNA", at positions 524 to 776 of the family's 1533-position model. The record is from RNAcentral.
UACGGGGGGGGCAAGCGUUGUUCGGAAUUACUGGGCGUAAAGGGCUCGUAGGUGGCCAACUAAGUCAGACGUGAAAUCCCCAGGCUCAACCUGGGAACUGCGUCUGAUACUGGAUGGCUUGAAUCCGGGAGAGGGAUGCAGAAUUCCAGGUGUAGCGGUGAAAUGCGUAGAUAUCUGGAGGAAUACCGGUGGCGAAGGCGGCAUCCUGGACCGGCAUUGACGCUGAGGCGCGAAAGCGUGGGGAGCAAACAGG